UGCAUACGAGACCAUGGGGACAUAGAAUCC
This 30-nucleotide non-coding RNA is filed under the name Homo sapiens (human). The record is from RNAcentral. Lineage: Eukaryota; Metazoa; Chordata; Mammalia; Primates; Hominidae.